Molecule: transfer RNA, 91 nt
Filed under: Actinomycetota bacterium
Lineage: Bacteria; Bacillati; Actinomycetota
Description: tRNA-Tyr
Rfam family: tRNA
About the family: Transfer RNA (tRNA) molecules are approximately 80 nucleotides in length.
Source: RNAcentral
CCGGCCUUAGCUCAGUUGGAAGAGCAGUGGAUUGUAGUCGUUCAUAAAAUCAAGCCUCCACGGGUCAGCCGUUCGAAUCGGUUAGGUCGGA